GCACUCAAAACGUGGCUGCCACCUUUCGA
This 29-nucleotide non-coding RNA is filed under the name Macaca fascicularis (crab-eating macaque). Lineage: Eukaryota; Metazoa; Chordata; Mammalia; Primates; Cercopithecidae. The record is from RNAcentral. RNAcentral also lists the same sequence under 1 other name.